AACGAACGCUGGCGGCAUGCCUAACACAUGCAAGUCGAACGAGACCUCCGGGUCUUUUGGCGCACGGCUGUGUAACGCGUGGGAACCUUCCCUUAGGUUCGGAAUAACUCCCCGAAUGGGGUGCUAAUACCGGACAAUGUCUUCGGACCAAAGAUAUAUUGCGCUGGGUUGGACCAUCGUUGGAUUAGCUAGUUGGGAGGGUAAUAGCUUAACAAGGCGACGAUUCAUAGGUGGUUUGAGAGAAUGAUCAGCCACACUGGGACUAAGACACGGCCCAGAAUCCUACGCGAGGCAGCAGUGGGGAAUAUUGGACAAUGGGCGAAAGCCUGAUCCAGCAAUGCCGCGUAAGUGAUGAAGGCCUUAGGGUUGUAAAGCUCUUUUACCCGGGAUGAUAAUGACAGUACCGGGAGAAUAAGCUCCGGCUAACUCCGUG
RNAcentral lists this ribosomal RNA (433 nucleotides) under uncultured bacterium. RNAcentral's name for it is "partial 16S ribosomal RNA". It matches the Rfam family "Bacterial small subunit ribosomal RNA", at positions 29 to 507 of the family's 1533-position model. The record is from RNAcentral.